This 74-nucleotide transfer RNA is filed under the name Phycisphaerales bacterium. Its description in RNAcentral is "tRNA-Gln". It matches the Rfam family "tRNA". Rfam says of the family: Transfer RNA (tRNA) molecules are approximately 80 nucleotides in length. The record is from RNAcentral. Lineage: Bacteria; Pseudomonadati; Planctomycetota; Phycisphaerae; Phycisphaerales.
GCGGCAGUAGCUCAGUUGGUUAGAGCGUCGGAUUCUGAUUCCGGAUGUCGGGGGUUCGAGUCCCCUCUGCCGCC